UACGUAGGGUGCGAGCGUUAAUCGGAAUUACUGGGCGUAAAGUGUGCGCAGGCGGCAGAGCAAGUCGAGUGUGAAAGCCCCGGGCUUAACUUGGGAAUUGCGCUCGAAACUACUUUGCUGGAGUGUGGCAGAGGAAGGUGGAAUUCCACGUGUAGCGGUGAAGUGCGUAGAGAUGUGGAGGAACACCAAUGGCGAAGGCAGCCUUCUGGGCCAACACUGACGCUCAUGCACGAAAGCGUGGGGAGCAAACAGG
Molecule: ribosomal RNA, 253 nt
Filed under: uncultured bacterium
Lineage: Bacteria
Description: partial 16S ribosomal RNA
Rfam family: Bacterial small subunit ribosomal RNA
Source: RNAcentral